This 411-nucleotide ribosomal RNA is filed under the name uncultured bacterium. RNAcentral describes it as "bacterial SSU rRNA". It matches the Rfam family "Bacterial small subunit ribosomal RNA", at positions 28 to 420 of the family's 1533-position model. The record is from RNAcentral.
GACGAACGCUGGCGGCGUGCUUAACACACGCAAGUCGUACGACAGCAUUUCCUUUUAGGUUGUGUUUGGAGUGGCGAACGGGUGAGUAACACGUGAGUGACCUGCCCUUCACUUUGGGAUAACGUGCGGAAACGUGCGCUAAUACCAAAUAUUCGCAUUUCUGCUGCAUGGUGGGGUGUGGAAAGGGGCCUUCGGGUUCGUGGUGGGGGAGUGGGCGUCGCGGCCUAUCAGCNGUGUUGGUGGGGUGGAUGGCCUACCAAGGCGUGGACGGGUAGCCGGCCUGAGAGGGUGUUCGGUCGACACUGGGACUGAGAUACGGCCCAGACUCCUACGGAGGCAGCAGUGGGGGAGUUUUGUCACAAUGGACGAAAGUCUGAUGCAGUGACGCCGCGUGGGGGAUGACGGCCUCGG